This is a ribosomal RNA of Ochotona princeps (American pika), 128 nucleotides long. The record is from Ensembl. Lineage: Eukaryota; Metazoa; Chordata; Mammalia; Lagomorpha; Ochotonidae.
CUGUAUGGCCAAACCAUCCUGAAUGUGCCUGAGCUCAUCUGAUCUCCGAAGCUAAGCGGGGUUGGACCUGGUUAGUACUUAGAUAGAAGAGUUUCAUUGAUCACAUGGCUUCCUGGUUGACAUUAUGU